Long non-coding RNA from Seriola dumerili (greater amberjack), 161 nucleotides. RefSeq lists it as uncharacterized. The transcript is spliced from 3 exons. NCBI's taxonomy places the organism in Eukaryota, Metazoa, Chordata, Actinopteri, Carangiformes, Carangidae. The record is from RefSeq and is a predicted model, not a curated record.
UACAAUAGCUGUGCCAAGACCUGAAAGCUCUUCAUUUCCUGUGUCGCUGAUCGUUGGGCCAGUUUGUGGAAUAGUAUUGAUCGUUCUCCUGCUGCUGUUGUUUCACUACAGAAAUUCAACAGAUCCAUGUUGUAACAGACUCACUCAGACUCAAAGAGAGA